AACGAACGCUGGCGGCAUGCCUAACACAUGCAAGUCGAACGAGACCUUCGGGUCUAGUGGCGCACGGGUGCGUCACGCGUGGGAACCUGCCCUUAGGUUCGGAAUAACUCCCCGACAGGGGUGCUAAUACCGGAUAAUGUCUUCGGCCCAAAGAUUUAUCGCCUUUGGAUGGGCCCGCGUUGGAUUAGCUAGUUGGUAGGGUAAAAGCCUACCAAGGCGACGAUCCAUAGCUGGUCUGAGAGGAUGAUCAGCCACACUGGGACUGAGACACGGCCCAGACUCCUACGGGAGGCAGCAGUGGGGAAUAGUGGACAAUGGGCGAAAGCCUGAUCCAGCAAUGCCGCGUGAGUGAUGAAGGCCUUAGGGUUGUAAAGCUCUUUUACCCGGGAUGAUAAUGACAGUACCGGGAGAAUAAGCUCCGGCUAACUCCGUG
RNAcentral lists this ribosomal RNA (433 nucleotides) under uncultured bacterium. Its description in RNAcentral is "partial 16S ribosomal RNA". It matches the Rfam family "Bacterial small subunit ribosomal RNA", at positions 29 to 507 of the family's 1533-position model. The record is from RNAcentral.